UUAUCCUUCAGAUAGUGAUUUCUCAAAUGUUUUCCUAAAGGGAAGAUGAUAAACACAGAUCAUGGAGGACUGUUUUAUCUGUUUGUGAUCUGCCGUCCUCUGUGAGCCUCAGGAUGGAUGUUUGCCAGCCGAUUCCAUGGUUACAAGCUCUAUAGCUGCAUCUAUGUGUUAGGAGCAUGAAGACCAAUAAUGGAUGCACUGAGCUGAUUAUGAAUUUAGCCCUGAUGAAGACUUGUGUUGCUGUCAUGAUAUGAAAGAUUCCAGUAAUGAACGCACUUGAGUUGAUUCAAGCACGCUUCCAUGGUCAUGAGCUCUGUGGUUGCAUCUGUGUGUUAGGAGCAUGCAGACCAAUAGUGAUAAUCUCGAGGUGAUUUAUGCAUUCUUCCAUGGCCACCAGCCUUAUGAUUGCAUCUGUGCGUCACAGCUUAGAGAUCAAUAAUGGAUGCAACAAGCUCUUUGAAUCAUUCUGUUGGGAUCAAGAUUGUUGUGUUCCCUCUGUUUGGAAAGAGACCAAGAAUGGAUACGCUCAGGUGAUUUAAGCAGUCUUCCAUGGCCACGAGCUCUGUGGUUGCCUCUGUAUAUUAAGAGCACAGAGAUUAAAAAUGGGUGCACUUGAGCCGAUUGAAACAUUCCUCCUUGCAUCUUUCUUCUGUGAUUGCAUCUAUUUGUUAGUAGCAUAGAGACCAAUAAUAGAUGGCUUGUGCUGAUGGAAGGAUUCCUCCCUGGUGACAUGCUGUGUCUGCCUCUUGAUUGGGAGCACGCAGACCUACAAUGAUGCACUUUUUAUGAUUUGAGAAUUCCUUCAUGGUCACGUGCUCUGUUUUUAUCAUGGUUGGGAGCCUGCAGAGCAAUAAGGGACAUGCCUUUGCUGAUUUGAGGAUUCCUCUGAGGUUGGGAGCUAAGUUUGCAUCAUGCUUAGAAAGGAGUGUGCAGACCUGUAAUGAUUGCACUUUGCUGAUUGAAGGAUUCCUUCAAGUCCAUGUGCUCCACUUGCACCAUUUUUAGGAUGGAGCCUGGAGACCUAUAAUGAACAACUUGUGCUGUGUUAAGGAUUCCUCCAUGAUCACGCGCCCCAUUUGUACACCAUGCUUGGGAAGGUGCAUGCAGACCAAUAAUGGACGUACUUGUGAUGAUUUAAAGAUGCCUCCAAGGUCACGUGCUCUGUUUGCACCAUGCUUAGGAAGGAGCGUACAGACCAAAAAUGGAUGAAUUGUGCACCUUGAAAAGUUCUUCCAUGGUCACCUGAGGCAUCUGCGUCAUGAUUAGGCUCCGGAUGACUAAUAAUGGACGUACUUGUUCUGAUUUGAGGACUUCUUCAUGGUCACAUGUUCUGUUUGCACCAUGCUUAGGAAGGAGCAUGUGUACCAAUAAUGGAAGCACAGAAGCUGGUUUUAAUAGUUAAGAGCUGUAUGGUCCAUCUCUGUGCUAGAAGCUGGAGACCAAUAACAGUCACUCCCUGCACUGAUUCUGCCAUGACCACUUGCUCUAUGGUUGUUUUAAGGAACCUACAGACAAAUAAUGGAUUAUCAUUGGUGAAGAUCUUAGCUGUUCCAUAGAAGGAACACACUUAUCACUACAGUGAUUCUGUAAUGAUGAAGACCUUUAUGGGUCAGUGAUGGGUAGACCAGAGCUGAUUAAAUUAUUCUCCCAUUGAUGAGGAACUUUACCUUAUCCCUCAGAGUAAGGAGAAUGUCAUAUAAUGUAAGUAAUAAAGUUCUUGAGUUGGGUUGUUGGUUCAUGAUUUCUACUGUCAUUUAAAAAGAUAAUUAAAUUUUAAAAGGUCAUACUAGGCCUAUGAUGAGAAUGUGUUGUGGACCGAAAUUAAUCCAAUUUAGCACAAAUGAAGUGUAAGAAAAAAUUUAGCUUUCCCAUUCAUUUUCAAUAGUUAAAUGUCACAUUGUAUGUUUGUCUCAUUGAUUAUUUAAAGACUCUUCUCUUGAUAAAGGCUGUUACUCAUUUAUGGAGUCAGUAUUCUAGUUGUUGAGUAGGAUGGUGGUUCAAGUUUGUUCAUUUGAUAUCUAAAAGUUGUUCAAAUUAAAUGUAGAGGGGCCAUGUCUGGACCAAUGAUGUGAAUGGAAUGCAUCUGAAUAAAAAUUAUGAUCAAUCAGUUUUUGGAACAACUGAGGUCCACUGCAAAAUGAAGAACUAAUAUGUAAACCUUUGUGGGAAUAAUGUCAGGAAAGUUUGAGAAUCUAGUUCUGGAGCUUGAGAGGGUUCACAGGUACUGAUUUUAUAUGAUUAGCAGAUCCACUUGUGUGGAUCAACACACAAGUAUAUUCAUGAGUAAAGAAAAAGAGGUUAAGACAUGGACCAAUUCUGAGGGCAUGUUGUAAAGCAAGGAAUAUAAUUAAUUCAAUUCUGAAAUACCUUGGUCCAUCAAGAAAAAAAACAGAUUAAAUUUGUCACCACUUUGGGUAAGAAGCAUCUAGAUAGAAGUACUUAAUAGUCAAUGUUCUGUUCUUAGUUUGCUGUGGGUUCCCAGAUGUUUGAUUCAUUAAGACAAAAAAAUUAAAAUUAAACAAACAAAUACGUGUAUAACUAAAUAAAUGGGUGCCAAGUAUGAACCAAUGAUAAGGGUACUUCAUUAUUUUCUAUAUCUGCUUUGUAACCCCACAGAACAGAGGUAACUUGGCUGUUUUAAUAAUUAUUUAAAGGAUGAAGAUCUUGACUGUUACCCAUGUGGCAAGGAGAGUGUAGAACAGGGUGAGUCAGAUUAAGUUUUUAUUCUUGGUUUAGCCUUUUGUUAGAGAUGAUGAUUAAUUAUUAUUUGAAAAGAAGAAAUGACUUUAUGCAGUCAUAAAAUCCAAGAAGACCAUGCCUGAACCAAUGAUAAGAAUGAAUCCUGCCAAGUGUCAUGGUUAAUUCAUUUUGCAAAACGAGAUCCAUUUAAAAAGAGGUUUGGUUUGCUAUCUCUUAGAUUAAGGAGAUUAUAGGCAGAUUCUAGCCUUGGUCAAAGAUCUUGUUUUUGGGUUAGUUGUGGUUCUCUUGAGUUUUGUUAUUUUAUUAAAAAUAAUAAAUAGUUAAACAAGUACAAAGCAUUUAUGCUAGUAAAAUUACAAUGGCCACUCAUGACCAAUUUGGAGAUUAUAUCAUGAAACAAGGAUUUGUUUAACUUUGGUUAACUGUUUUAUCACUGUUUGAGGAGGUCAUGGAAAGAUUUAAAUGAUAGUCAAUUUCUCCCCUCUUUCUUGGGAGUAGAUUCUUUGUUGUUGACUUUGUUUUUGAAAAUGAGUGACUGACUAAAUUAAUGAACGACAAAAACACUAGAAUGGACAAGAAUAUUCAAAUGAUGACAUUUCAUGAAGCAAGAAUUAUGAUCAACACAAUUCUGCUUCCCUGAAAUCCAUUUAACAGAAAAGAGUCAAUCUGUUUUCUCUGUGUAUAAUGAGGUCAGAAACAGGUGUUAAAAUAUUCAGUGUUCUUGUUUUUGUAUUUUGGUGGGUUCAUGGAGUUGAUUAUUAUGAUUAAGGAAAUAAGUAUAUGAAAAAGUAAAUUACAAGAGGGUAAAUCAUGAACCAGUGAUUAAAAUGUGUUUUGAAACAAAGAUUGUAGGUAUUUCAGUUCUGCACUGUGGACUUUUAUGAAAUGAAACCUUAAUCUUUUGUAUCUUUAUUUUAAUAGUACAUAGUACCAUUCUGCAUAUACUAUGGAUAUAUUUUAGACAUUUUCUCAUGCUACUUACAUUCAGUUUUUUUCACUAUCUGAGUUAUAAAUUCUAGUGAAUUGAUUUAUUUGGAGGUGGUGGUAGGAAACCCCUAUGCCCCAUAUUUUAAAAUUUUCUGGCAGCUGAUAUCUAAGAGAGUACUAAAAUGACUAAUAUUAAGGUAUUAAUUUCAGCUCAACAAGUAUUGAUGCUAACUCUUGUCAGACCCCAUAUGAGGAGUGAAAUUUAUAUAUGAAUUUAGUCUAGUUCCACUCAUUGAGUAGCUCUGUGAGAUUAGAUGGAGACCCACUUACAAAUGCAGCAAUUCAAUAGAAUAGGGCAGGUAGAUGGGUUCUCUGUGAGACUAGAGGGAGACCCACUUAUACAUGCAGCAAUUUGAUAAAAUAGGACAGGUAGAUGGGCUUUCUAGAAGCACAGAAGGUAUGCCUUCAGCUCAAUCUCAGUGUCAGUUGAGUUGUGGAAGAGAUGACUCCUGAGCCAGUGACAGACUCAUUAGUCCAUAGCUCCGCAAAGCUGGGGACCACACUCCUCUCCUUCACUGCUCUGCCCCUUGUGCCUUACAUGGACAGCACAUGCAAUAAGCAUCUGUUGAAUGAAUAGGUGAAUACAUGGUGAAUAAAAGAAUGGAGGAGUGAAGCAGUAUAUGAACAAAUGAGUCUUUGAGUAGACAAAGGAACGAAUAAA
This is a long non-coding RNA of Homo sapiens (human), 4348 nucleotides long. Ensembl annotates it as maternally expressed 8, small nucleolar RNA host gene. Its record names the gene MEG8. NCBI's taxonomy places the organism in Eukaryota, Metazoa, Chordata, Mammalia, Primates, Hominidae. The record is from Ensembl.